RNAcentral lists this ribosomal RNA (553 nucleotides) under Streptococcus suis. Its description in RNAcentral is "partial 23S ribosomal RNA". It matches the Rfam family "Bacterial large subunit ribosomal RNA", at positions 1226 to 1790 of the family's 2925-position model. Lineage: Bacteria; Bacillati; Bacillota; Bacilli; Lactobacillales; Streptococcaceae. The record is from RNAcentral.
UGGUAGGAGAGCGUUCUAUGUGUGAAGAAGGUAUACCGUGAGGAGUGCUGGAACGCAUAGAAGUGAGAAUGCCGGUAUGAGUAGCGAAAGAUGGGUGAGAAUCCCAUCCACCGUAAGACUAAGGUUUCCAGGGGAAGGCUCGUCCGCCCUGGGUUAGUCGGGACCUAAGGAGAGACCGAAGGGUGUAUCCGAUGGACAACAGGUUGAUAUUCCUGUACUAGAGUAUGAAGUGAUGGAGGGACGCAGUAGGCUGACUAAAGCGGGCGAUUGGAAGAGCCCGUCUAAGCAGUGAGGUGUGAUAUGAGUCAAAUGCUUGUAUCUGUAACAUUGAGCUGUGAUGGGGAGCGAAGAUAAGUAGCGAAGUUAGUGACGUCACACUGCCGAGAAAAGCUUCUAGCGAUGUAUCAUACUCUACCCGUACCGCAAACCGACACAGGUAGUCGAGGCGAGUAGCCUCAGGUGAGCGAGAGAACUCUCGUUAAGGAACUCGGCAAAAUGACCCCGUAACUUCGGGAGAAGGGGUGCUGACUUAAAGUCAGCCGCAGUGAAUAGG